AUACGUAGGGGGCGAGCGUUGUCCGGAAUGAUUGGGCGUAAAGGGCGCGUAGGCGGCCUGUUAAGUCUGGAGUGAAAGUCCUGUUUUCAAGAUGGGAAUUGCUUUGGAUACUGAUGGGCUUGAGUGCAGGAGAGGUUAUCGGAAUUCCCGGUGUAGCGGUGAAAUGCGUAGAGAUCGGGAGGAACACCAGUGGCGAAGGCGGGUAACUGGACUGCAACUGACGCUGAGGCGCGAAAGUGUGGGGAGCAAACAGGAUUAGAUACCCUGGUAGUCCACACUGUAAACGAUGAAUGCUAGGUGUAAGAGGUAUCGACCCCUUUUGUGCCGGAGUUAACACGAUAAGCAUUCCGCCUGGGGAGUACGGCCGCAAGGUUGAAACUCAAAUGAAUUGACGGGG
This 397-nucleotide ribosomal RNA is filed under the name uncultured bacterium. Its description in RNAcentral is "partial 16S ribosomal RNA". It matches the Rfam family "Bacterial small subunit ribosomal RNA", at positions 523 to 918 of the family's 1533-position model. The record is from RNAcentral.